AGAGCGGAUGGAAGUGCAGCAUGCUGUCCCUGGCUUCAGCAACUUGGAGAUAACUUGAUAACGCUGCCAGCAACAGAAUUUUUGGCCUCAGGCACUUCUCUUUCUCCAUUGCAGAGAAACUGAGAAAUUCAGGAAAGUUUAAUUUGUGUGCACAUCAUUUGGAACCACCUCCAGCUUUUUUU
Long non-coding RNA from Nothoprocta perdicaria, 182 nucleotides. RefSeq lists it as uncharacterized. The record is from RefSeq and is a predicted model, not a curated record. The transcript has 3 exons. Lineage: Eukaryota; Metazoa; Chordata; Aves; Tinamiformes; Tinamidae.